Callithrix jacchus (white-tufted-ear marmoset) is the source of this 135-nucleotide small nucleolar RNA. NCBI's taxonomy places the organism in Eukaryota, Metazoa, Chordata, Mammalia, Primates, Cebidae. The record is from Ensembl.
GCAUGGCUGAAUAGUGUGUUCUUUCAUUAGUAGUUUAUACAGCCAGACACCAUGGGAAAGCAGUCUUCCCUUGAGAAUGACAGAUGGUAUGCUAAGGUUUUUGAUAGCAUAUCAUUAUUAAAGGUGAAUAAAAAU